RNAcentral lists this ribosomal RNA (2925 nucleotides) under Escherichia coli. RNAcentral describes it as "23S ribosomal RNA". It matches the Rfam family "Bacterial large subunit ribosomal RNA". Lineage: Bacteria; Pseudomonadati; Pseudomonadota; Gammaproteobacteria; Enterobacterales; Enterobacteriaceae. The record is from RNAcentral.
GGGUUGUGAGGUUAAGCGACUAAGCGUACACGGUGGAUGCCCUGGCAGUCAGAGGCGAUGAAGGACGUGCUAAUCUGCGAUAAGCGUCGGUGAGGUGAUAUGAACCGUUAUAACCGGCGAUUUCCGAAUGGGGAAACCCAGUGUGUUUCGACACACUAUCAUUAACUGAAUCCAUAGGUUAAUGAGGCGAACCGGGGGAACUGAAACAUCUAAGUACCCCGAGGAAAAGAAAUCAACCGAGAUUCCCCCAGUAGCGGCGAGCGAACGGGGAGGAGCCCAGAGCCUGAAUCAGUGUGUGUGUUAGUGGAAGCGUCUGGAAAGGCGCGCGAUACAGGGUGACAGCCCCGUACACAAAAAUGCACAUAUUGUGAGCUCGAUGAGUAGGGCGGGACACGUGGUAUCCUGUCUGAAUAUGGGGGGACCAUCCUCCAAGGCUAAAUACUCCUGACUGACCGAUAGUGAACCAGUACCGUGAGGGAAAGGCGAAAAGAACCCCGGCGAGGGGAGUGAAAAAGAACCUGAAACCGUGUACGUACAAGCAGUGGGAGCCUCUUAAUGGGGUGACUGCGUACCUUUUGUAUAAUGGGUCAGCGACUUAUAUUCUGUAGCAAGGUUAACCGAAUAGGGGAGCCGAAGGGAAACCGAGUCUUAACUGGGCGUUAAGUUGCAGGGUAUAGACCCGAAACCCGGUGAUCUAGCCAUGGGCAGGUUGAAGGUUGGGUAACACUAACUGGAGGACCGAACCGACUAAUGUUGAAAAAUUAGCGGAUGACUUGUGGCUGGGGGUGAAAGGCCAAUCAAACCGGGAGAUAGCUGGUUCUCCCCGAAAGCUAUUUAGGUAGCGCCUCGUGAAUUCAUCUCCGGGGGUAGAGCACUGUUUCGGCAAGGGGGUCAUCCCGACUUACCAACCCGAUGCAAACUGCGAAUACCGGAGAAUGUUAUCACGGGAGACACACGGCGGGUGCUAACGUCCGUCGUGAAGAGGGAAACAACCCAGACCGCCAGCUAAGGUCCCAAAGUCAUGGUUAAGUGGGAAACGAUGUGGGAAGGCCCAGACAGCCAGGAUGUUGGCUUAGAAGCAGCCAUCAUUUAAAGAAAGCGUAAUAGCUCACUGGUCGAGUCGGCCUGCGCGGAAGAUGUAACGGGGCUAAACCAUGCACCGAAGCUGCGGCAGCGACACUAUGUGUUGUUGGGUAGGGGAGCGUUCUGUAAGCCUGUGAAGGUGGCCUGUGAGGGUUGCUGGAGGUAUCAGAAGUGCGAAUGCUGACAUAAGUAACGAUAAAGCGGGUGAAAAGCCCGCUCGCCGGAAGACCAAGGGUUCCUGUCCAACGUUAAUCGGGGCAGGGUGAGUCGACCCCUAAGGCGAGGCCGAAAGGCGUAGUCGAUGGGAAACAGGUUAAUAUUCCUGUACUUGGUGUUACUGCGAAGGGGGGACGGAGAAGGCUAUGUUGGCCGGGCGACGGUUGUCCCGGUUUAAGCGUGUAGGCUGGUUUUCCAGGCAAAUCCGGAAAAUCAAGGCUGAGGCGUGAUGACGAGGCACUACGGUGCUGAAGCGACAAAUGCCCUGCUUCCAGGAAAAGCCUCUAAGCAUCAGGUAACAUCAAAUCGUACCCCAAACCGACACAGGUGGUCAGGUAGAGAAUACCAAGGCGCUUGAGAGAACUCGGGUGAAGGAACUAGGCAAAAUGGUGCCGUAACUUCGGGAGAAGGCACGCUGAUAUGUAGGUGAAGCGACUUGCUCGUGGAGCUGAAAUCAGUCGAAGAUACCAGCUGGCUGCAACUGUUUAUUAAAAACACAGCACUGUGCAAACACGAAAGUGGACGUAUACGGUGUGACGCCUGCCCGGUGCCGGAAGGUUAAUUGAUGGGGUUAGCGGUAACGCGAAGCUCUUGAUCGAAGCCCCGGUAAACGGCGGCCGUAACUAUAACGGUCCUAAGGUAGCGAAAUUCCUUGUCGGGUAAGUUCCGACCUGCACGAAUGGCGUAAUGAUGGCCAGGCUGUCUCCACCCGAGACUCAGUGAAAUUGAACUCGCUGUGAAGAUGCAGUGUACCCGCGGCAAGACGGAAAGACCCCGUGAACCUUUACUAUAGCUUGACACUGAACAUUGAGCCUUGAUGUGUAGGAUAGGUGGGAGGCUUUGAAGUGUGGACGCCAGUCUGCAUGGAGCCGACCUUGAAAUACCACCCUUUAAUGUUUGAUGUUCUAACGUGGGCCCCUUACCGGGGUUGCGGACAGUGUCUGGUGGGUAGUUUGACUGGGGCGGUCUCCUCCUAAAGAGUAACGGAGGAGCACGAAGGUUGGCUAAUCCUGGUCGGACAUCAGGAGGUUAGUGCAAUGGCAUAAGCCAGCUUGACUGCGAGCGUGACGGCGCGAGCAGGUGCGAAAGCAGGUCAUAGUGAUCCGGUGGUUCUGAAUGGAAGGGCCAUCGCUCAACGGAUAAAAGGUACUCCGGGGAUAACAGGCUGAUACCGCCCAAGAGUUCAUAUCGACGGCGGUGUUUGGCACCUCGAUGUCGGCUCAUCACAUCCUGGGGCUGAAGUAGGUCCCAAGGGUAUGGCUGUUCGCCAUUUAAAGUGGUACGCGAGCUGGGUUUAGAACGUCGUGAGACAGUUAGGUCCCUAUCUGCCGUGGGCGCUGGAGAACUGAGGGGGGCUGCUCCUAGUACGAGAGGACCGGAGUGGACGCAUCACUGGUGUUCGGGUUGUCAUGCCAAUGGCACUGCCCGGUAGCUAAAUGCGGAAGAGAUAAGUGCUGAAAGCAUCUAAGCACGAAACUUGCCCCGAGAUGAGUUCUCCCUGACUCCUUGAGAGUCCUGAAGGAACGUUGAAGACGACGACGUUGAUAGGCCGGGUGUGUAAGCGCAGCGAUGCGUUGAGCUAACCGGUACUAAUGAACCGUGAGGCUUAACCUUACAACGCCGAAG